GAGUUCUAUGAUUUAGACAAAUGUCAUAAACUAGCACAACAAAGUUACUAAUUUAAAUAAUAAAUAAUGGUUGAAAAAAUAUUGCUAUUGUUAUUAAUGAAUGAAUAAUAAUUAUUCUUUGGAAAAGCUUACUUCUUAAAGAUGUUGAAAGAAGGUAACUUAUUUAUCAUGUUUUUUUUCAUAAUUUCUAGUCACUACAGGCCCUAAGAACGAAUUUCUUAGAAAGUAGUCCUUAUUUGAAAAACAUGCUAAAAUAUGGAAGAAAUAUGAAGCGAAGUUAAAUAUCGAAAAAAACUUCAUUUAUCAUAUUACAUUACUGAUCAGUUGUGACCAAUAACAUUAGAAGUUAAGUGACGCGGACUUUUAAGAUUAAAUUCCUACAUAAAGAUUUUCCUCCAACCAAACGUUAUAUUAAGCAAUUUGGACAUUGCCGAAGAAGAUAAGAUCUUGAAAUAUCUUUUCACAAGCAAUAUGGAGAUUGAAGAUGAGUAUUUGAAACUCUAGUAUCGUUCAAGAACUUUACCAUUAUUUUUAUUCUACACAUUGUUAAAAGUUAACUUGUAAUCAAAUAUCAGCUGAAAAUAUUUUGAAAGAAUAGGAAAAAUAGAGUGAGGAAAUUCAUAUAAAUGCAGAUAAUUAUAUUCAGAAUCUAAGAUACUUACAAAAUAGACUACUUGAAAAGGGCAAUAAAAAAUCUACAAUUUAUACUAGCUACUAUAGAAGUUACUCGAAACUGUUUCAUAAGUAGAAAGUACAAAAGCACCACAAAACAAGAACAGGGCACAUAAUGAGAUCUAAUGAGAAGAAUCACUAAUUGUUUUGCUUCAUGGCCAAGGAAUGUUCAGAAAUACCAGUAGAAUAACAAUUUACAUUUAGGAAACAAUAACCAGAAGUUACAAUACAAUCUUAUAAAAAAUUAAAUUCAUUUCAAGAAAUUCCAUUGCAUUUAACGAAAUUCUCAAUCCAUAUCAAUUGAAUGGAAACUUAUAGGGAAGUAUGGUUUCUUGUUCAAAUAAUGAAAAUUCAAUAGACUGGGAAUUUUUAAGGAAAUUAUUUAUUCAGUUAAAAAUAAAUUUUACAUUUUACAUAAUAAAUAGAUAGGUAUAUUUUUGUAAAGUUAACUUUAUGGAAACUACAGUAAACAAAUCUAUGAGGCUGAGAAUUUAGUACUACCUAACAAGCUGAGACAUUGAGUAUAUGGUUAAUAGAAAUAAAGAAAAUGAUUAAUUGGAUAUAGAAAUAACACAUCUUAUUGAAAAUAUUUGGUAAAAUUUCAAAUAUGAUGUUGAAUUAUUUGUAGAAUAUUAAGUGGAUAAACAAGCAAUAGUAAUGACAACUUUUUAUUCUCAACUAAGUUACUCACUAGAACAAAUAUAAGUAUUCAUUCUAAUUUAUCAUCACUAUUAAGUUGAAUAAUAUGAAGAUAUACAUUUAACAUCCAGAGAUCUUUGGAUACCUAUUAUACUACCAAGAGUACAUUUACAUAGAGAAAUUUAGGGAUUACAAGCUGAUAUCAAAGCAUUCAAUUAGUAACUUUUGUUUACAGAAAUAUGUAUGCUAUUAUUGUUAAUUGUUUUCAAUUUUUGUAUAAUUUCAUUAUCAUAUACAUAUAGAUUUGUUCUUGGAUUUUCUAUAGGUUUGUUUUUUUCGACAGUAAAUUCUUGUUUUCCCAAAUAUACUGCAAGUGGAAGGUCUUUCCAUCUAAUAUUUAGUUGGUAAAAAAUAUGUACAUGAUCCUGAUAUUUGUAAUUAUUGUAGGCUCUAGUAUUUUGAUUUUAAAUUGUUUCCCAUGUAAAUAAUCUGGUUAAUUUUAGUAGUGGAUCAACAAUUUCACUCAAAAUAACUUCUACUGGAUUGGAUCUCUUUUAUUUUCAAUUACCUUUGAAUCUAGGUUGCAUGAAGAGUACCUUUAUAAUCAAUUAUAAAUUUGGCUUAUUGGGUAAUAAGCAAGAAUAAGUUCAAUCAAAACCUUCGAGUUAAUUGUAAGGAAUCAAUAGAAGUUCCUUGCUUAGUAUAAUAACACAACUAACAACUAAUGUUUUGUAUGGAUAUACGAUAUUGUCUAAAAUUAUAUUCUCUACAUAAAUGCAAUGAUAAAUACGUUGUCGAUAUUCCUGAAGUGAAUUGUAACAUCAAUGUUCCCGGGUAUCUGAGUAAAUUUUAUGAGAGUUAUACACAACAAAGUCAUCUGCAUAUAAGAUUAAAUUACAGUUAAUAUCCUCAUAUAGUUAUGAAUAAAGCACAGUUCGCAGAAAUAAUUUUGUAAUGAUAUCCUGAUGUGUUGCAAGUGAUUAGUUUAUAAGAAAAUUUACUAUGAAUGGAUUACAAAUCCAUGAUAGCAUCAAAGACUUCCUGUGAUAAUAUAUCUGCAAGUUAUAUGCCUAAGUAAUAUCAAAUAAGUAUGCUCGCAGAUAAUUUAAAAAAAAUAUUUGUUUUACAUAAUUUUAAGACUUCGUUUGUUCAAAUGUUUUAAUAUGAACAAUAAUUGCAAUGUUACAGGAAGGUAUAAAUGGAUUCUCAUUAAACUUUUUAUUAUUAUUAAUAUCGAUCUUCCUAAACAUCAAUCAUCAUAUAAUUCUUGUAAAUGUUAGGUACCGUUUUUGCAUGUAUAAUUUGUUUGCAACUAAUGAUUCAUCAAAUUGUUUAUUAAAUAAACCGUCUUUAUAUUGGGACACACUAGAAAUAAUGAAGUUUAAUUGGGAUCAUAAAAUAUCCCAGUAUAGUGUCAACUACAAAUCAUCUUAGGUUCAUGAAAAUAUUAUUUGUUUUAAAUAAAUUAACGCUCUCUUGGCGAGAUGGAUCUUAAAUACUAAAUUGACAUGAUUCAUAAAAUAAUAAUGGCAAGUUUACAUUUUACACAGGUACUUGAUAAGGUUUGAAUAUUAUCUUUUUUGAUGAAAAUAGUAUAAAUGUUUAAGGUAUAAGGCCACAAAAACGUGGUGUUUUGAAAAGAAUAUAAAUUUGUAAUAUGAUAGUGGAACUUAGAUAAAUGGUUUUUAGAAAAGAAGAAAAUAAAAUAUUCAAUUUCAAAAAUAAACAUAUUGAGACAUAAUUCCGAAUUGUUUAUUGCCAGCAUAUAUAAGGAUAUGAAAGGCACCCGAUAUAGGUGGUUUGUCGGUACCGGACACUAUUUGAUUUUUAAGUGUUUUAUUUGAAAUGUAACUUUUUCAUAUUAAAAUUAGUAGGAAGAAGUUGGAACACUAAGAAUUUGUUUUGAAAGUUCAUAAAAUCAAAAUUGAUUCGCGAAAAAUACGAUUCGUUUUCUUAACCGCUGACACUGUUUUCAUCAUUUGAAUAAAUUUUAUCACACAAGUGUUGUUUUUUGAAAACAGUUUGUAAUUGCUGGGGGCAAAAUCUAGAGAAUGUAGCGGAUACUAAACUAAUUUUAAAGUCUGUCUGAGCUUUUCUGAAUUGUGGUCUCUAAAAUAUAGUUAUGGAACCAUGACUCAUCUAUUGUUACUAAGCAUCUGAGAAAAAUAUGACCGCAAAUAUAUGUUGGAAUUUGCUUUUGUGCAUCUGAUAAUAUUAGUGAUACCCAGCUUAAAGGCAAUUUUAUCUUUUUCAGUUCGGCAGUAUUUGUAUUAUUUGCCACAUUAAAAGAGAAGCCUACAGUCUCCAAUAAUCUCUUGAUCUUGCAACACAAAUUCAUACUCUUUUUUUAACACUUUCAUGUGCGAGUGCUCCACUUACAUGUUCGUCGAUCUACUAGAUUUAAAAUAAUGCCGUCAUCUUCUCAUUAUGCAGAUCUCUUUGUAUCCAACAAAUCUUUGUAAAUUUGCAGUGGGGUCAACUCUUAUGGUUACAAUCGAUUUCGAUACCAAGAUGUGACUCUCAAAUUUUAACUUCUACGAGGCAUGUUUCAACUAUCAAGUUCUAGAGUUUAGACAAAAGAGGUUACAUACGAGGUAUGAUCAAAAUAAAUUUGACCCAUAUCUUGUUUAUUAUUCGUUGAAAAUAUUGUUGGUGUUUAGGAUUAAUUUGAGCUUAUUAACAAAUUAUUAAUUGACGUUGAUAUUUCCUGAUAUACAAAUAGCUCAUAGUCAAAAUACAGUCUGCUUUAGCUAUAAGAAGACUGUUUUUAAUUUUUAAUACAUAAAAAAACAAACAAGUAAAAAUUCAAAUUAUUCAUAGUUUAAUAGUUUCCAAUAAUUGUAAAUCAAAACAUUUAUUGUCAUAUAAACUAUUUUUCAACUAAUUUGAAAAACUUUAAGUGACAAAGAAAUUUAAAGUGCCAAAUUAAAAAAUUAUCGUUAAUUUGUUUUUGCCUUCGUCAAAAAAUAAAAUAACAGCCAUUCAUUAUUGUUAAUUAUAUUAUAAUUGUUAUGAAUAAUAAAUAUUGACAAAAACCUGUUCAUUCAACAACAGAAGGUCAUUUAGUAAUAUUUGCACUUUACAUGUUCAAAACUGGAAAUUAACCCGUACAAUGUUAUUUUUGACGUAGAUGAAUAAUUUAUAUACUAUUCUACUAAUUAGAAUAACUCAUUGUCAAUAUAGCAGCUACAGUCUAGGCCACUAAAAAUGUUAGAAACAAUCAUUCAAAUUAUUUUCAACAAAAAUAAAUCUGCAGACAAAAUUAGUAAGUAUAUCAAGAAAUAACUUUCAACGAACGUUUUUGACGUCAAAUUCAAUACAUAUUACUGUGGUGAAUUUUUACAGACACUUUAGCACGCGCUUAUAAUAUUUAGAUGUAAGUUUUUUCAGUUUUGGUAUAAAGUGGCCAUAACUUCGCCCCCAAGAAUCAAAAAUAUUUUAGUUUAUAAAUUGUUUCUUCUAGGAUUGUUUAACAAUGGUGAGAAACUAUAAGCGCAAUAUGCUUGGUCGGAAGAAAGCAUGACAGCGGCCAUACAGGAUGUCAGAAAUAAUAUUUUGAGUAGAAAAAAAGCUACAACUCAAUAUGGAGUUCCUUUGACAACACUUCGGAGAAGAAUCAAUUCAAAUAAGGAUCCCCACGAAGCUUCAAAAAAGAUAUUUGGCCGAUUUAAGCCAGUUUUCUCUAAUGCAUAAGAGAAGGAACUUGUCGAUUUUAUCUUACUCAACUUGCAUUCCAGUUUGCCAAAAAAAAAUAAAAUCCCUCAUAAUUUUAACCAGGAAAAAGGUCUUGCUGGGCGUGACUGGAUCCACAGCUUUUUAAAAAGAAAUCAAAAUAUUUCUGUGAGGUUGCCAGAAUACACUUCAAUAGCAAAAGCCUCGUCUUUUAAUAAAUAUAUCAACAUUCGUUUUUUAACCUAUAGGGGAAAUUACUUAUGAAACAUAAAUUUCCACACAGUAAGAAAAUUUAACUGCGACGAAAUAGAGGUUUCAAAGGUUCCCAAUAGGUCCUUCCGAAUUUUUUCAUGUAAAGGGAAAAAACAAGCUUAUCUUCGGCUGAAAGAGGAACAUUAACCACUGCAGAAAUUUGCUUUAAUGAUUCCGGAUAUUAUAUUACCCCUCUAUUAAUAUUUCCACGAGUAAGGAAAUGUCAAGCUCUUGAGCAGAAUCUAUUGUUAAAUAUCAUCCAUCAGGAUGAAUGCAAAGUAGCAUAUUUAUUGAUAUUUGGUUUGAUCAUUUCAUAGAGUAUGUUAAGCCAACGAAGGAAGAUUCUGUACUACUGAUAUUUGACAGGCAUGCAACCCAAACUAAAAAUUUAACAUUGGUUGAAAAAGCAUGGGAGAAUAAUGUCCAUCUACUCGUAAUACUACAACAUAUAUCUCACCGAAUACAACCUUUGGAUGUAGCCUUUAUGUUUCCACUCAAUUACGAACAAGAAUUUUUCAAGGUUAUGACGUCAUACAUAUAUUAUUGAAAUUAAUAAAAACCGAAAUAAACUUUAUUAAUAACUUUUAAAUUACAGUAAAUAGUCUAUUAAACCAAAUCUAUUUCUUACAGGAAUUUUUCAAACUGUGACCCAUUCACUGCCAGACAAAGGUCAAGACGAUGGUACACCUGGUUUACUUAGCAUUAGAUCGUCUUCGGAGUUGUAUGAGUCAUUUGAUGUCUAAAUUUUCUGGUUUGUAAACGUAGUCAAUUCUAUUCAAAUGUCCUCAUAGAAAAAAAUCAAAAGGGGUGAGGUCAGGUUAUCUAGGAGGUAUCUCGAGAAACUUUCGAACAUUAAGAGCAUAAUGUGGGGGUUCUCCAUCUUGCUGGAACCAAAUACUGAAGUACAAGUUUUCCCUAUUAUUUGGAUAUGGACAUGCCGCAAUUAGAUCCAGAAGUACUGCUAUACUGUUUUAGUUGCGUGAAAGGUGUCUUCUAAUACAGCAAAAUAUCCAACUUCUCAUCGUCUCCUUAUUUCUGGUCCUUCAGAUUUUGAAGCAUCCGUCAUUCAAAAUUUGUUACGUUAAAUAAAGCACAUGUUUCUUCA
Diorhabda carinulata is the source of this 6340-nucleotide long non-coding RNA. RefSeq lists it as uncharacterized. NCBI's taxonomy places the organism in Eukaryota, Metazoa, Arthropoda, Insecta, Coleoptera, Chrysomelidae. The record is from RefSeq and is a predicted model, not a curated record. The transcript has 2 exons.